RNAcentral lists this long non-coding RNA (443 nucleotides) under Salvia miltiorrhiza (redroot sage). Its description in RNAcentral is "long non-coding RNA (SMIL_LNC001539)". The record is from RNAcentral. Lineage: Eukaryota; Viridiplantae; Streptophyta; Magnoliopsida; Lamiales; Lamiaceae.
CCAAAGUCUCGCCGGUAAGCUUCUUAAAUUAUUUUUUCCGCUACUACCCACUUUUACAAGCCAAGAAAAUGGGGAAAAAGAAAAGCAAAUUUAAAUUGUAAAAAGCAAGGAAAUUCAAUUUUAGAAAGCAAAAACAAAAGGAGAGAAACACAUGGCAGAGGUCGACUGUUUAUGACAACUCAGACAUCAUCGAAAAAAGAAAAAAAAAGAAAAUCAUUUAUCACGUCGCUCGUAACGAAGACCCAAAGAUUUUGGCUCCCGAAAACCAUCGCAACCAAAACCUUUACACAUUUUCCUCCGACACACAAACCGUUAUAGCAUGAGCUAUUGAUGACAACGUUAGGAUUUCCGACGAGGUAUUGUUUCUCGAUCGCCCGCUGUAAUUUUCAAGGGCUUUCACUUGUUGUCAGAGACCCAAAUUGAUUCACCCUUUCCAUUUCUUG